This 814-nucleotide ribosomal RNA is filed under the name Escherichia coli. Its description in RNAcentral is "partial 23S ribosomal RNA". It matches the Rfam family "Bacterial large subunit ribosomal RNA", at positions 418 to 1230 of the family's 2925-position model. The record is from RNAcentral. Lineage: Bacteria; Pseudomonadati; Pseudomonadota; Gammaproteobacteria; Enterobacterales; Enterobacteriaceae.
CGGGACACGUGGUAUCCUGUCUGAAUAUGGGGGGACCAUCCUCCAAGGCUAAAUACUCCUGACUGACCGAUAGUGAACCAGUACCGUGAGGGAAAGGCGAAAAGAACCCCGGCGAGGGGAGUGAAAAAGAACCUGAAACCGUGUACGUACAAGCAGUGGGAGCACAGAGCAAUCUGUGUGACUGCGUACCUUUUGUAUAAUGGGUCAGCGACUUAUAUUCUGUAGCAAGGUUAACCGAAUAGGGGAGCCGAAGGGAAACCGAGUCUUAACUGGGCGUUAAGUUGCAGGGUAUAGACCCGAAACCCGGUGAUCUAGCCAUGGGCAGGUUGAAGGUUGGGUAACACUAACUGGAGGACCGAACCGACUAAUGUUGAAAAAUUAGCGGAUGACUUGUGGCUGGGGGUGAAAGGCCAAUCAAACCGGGAGAUAGCUGGUUCUCCCCGAAAGCUAUUUAGGUAGCGCCUCGUGAAUUCAUCUCCGGGGGUAGAGCACUGUUUCGGCAAGGGGGUCAUCCCGACUUACCAACCCGAUGCAAACUGCGAAUACCGGAGAAUGUUAUCACGGGAGACACACGGCGGGUGCUAACGUCCGUCGUGAAGAGGGAAACAACCCAGACCGCCAGCUAAGGUCCCAAAGUCAUGGUUAAGUGGGAAACGAUGUGGGAAGGCCCAGACAGCCAGGAUGUUGGCUUAGAAGCAGCCAUCAUUUAAAGAAAGCGUAAUAGCUCACUGGUCGAGUCGGCCUGCGCGGAAGAUGUAACGGGGCUAAACCAUGCACCGAAGCUGCGGCAGCGACGCUGAUGCGUUGUUGGGUA